RNAcentral lists this ribosomal RNA (492 nucleotides) under uncultured bacterium. Its description in RNAcentral is "partial 16S ribosomal RNA". It matches the Rfam family "Bacterial small subunit ribosomal RNA", at positions 29 to 507 of the family's 1533-position model. The record is from RNAcentral.
AGUGAACGCUGGCGGUAGGCCUAACACAUGCAAGUCGAACGGCAGCACAGUAAGAGCUUGCUCUUACGGGUGGCGAGUGGCGGACGGGUGAGGAAUACAUCGGAAUCUACUUUUUCGUGGGGGAUAACGUAGGGAAACUUACGCUAAUACCGCAUACGACCUACGGGUGAAAGCAGGGGAUCUUCGGACCUUGCGCGAUUGAAUGCGCCGAUGUCGGAGUAGCUAGUUGGCGGGGUAAAGGCCCACCAAGGCGACGAUCCGUAGCUGGUCUGAGAGGAUGAUCGGCCACACUGGAACUGAGACACGGUCCAGACUCCUACGGGAGGCAGCAGUGGGGAAUAUUGGACAAUGGGCGCAAGCCUGAUCCAGCCAUACCGCGUGGGUGAAGAAGGCCUUCGGGUUGUAAAGCCCUUUUGUUGGGAAAGAAAAGCAGCAGGUUAAUACCCCGCUGUUCUGACGGUACCCAAAGAAUAAGCACCGGCUAACUUCGUG